AUGUAGUUGGCAGAAG
Molecule: small RNA, 16 nt
Filed under: Arabidopsis thaliana (thale cress)
Lineage: Eukaryota; Viridiplantae; Streptophyta; Magnoliopsida; Brassicales; Brassicaceae
Description: ATSL114270
Source: RNAcentral